Molecule: ribosomal RNA, 255 nt
Filed under: uncultured bacterium
Lineage: Bacteria
Description: partial 16S ribosomal RNA
Rfam family: Bacterial small subunit ribosomal RNA
Source: RNAcentral
UACAGAGGGGGGCAAGCGUUUGUUCGGAAUUACUGGGCGUAAAGGGCGCGUAGGCGGCCUGUUAAGUCGAACGUGAAAUCCCCGGGCUCAACCCGGGAACUGCGUCCGAUACUGGCAGGCUUGAAUCCGGGAGAGGGAUGCAGAAUUCCAGGUGUAGCGGUGAAAUGCGUAGAUAUCUGGAGGAAUACCGGUGGCGAAGGCGGCAUCCUGGACCGACAUUGACGCUGAGGAGCGAAAGCUAGGGGAGCAAACGGG